GUGGGGAAUUUUGGACAAUGGGCGCAAGCCUGAUCCAGCAAUGCCGCGUGCAGGAAGAAGGCCUUCGGGUUGUAAACUGCUUUUGUACGGAACGAAACGGUCCGGGUUAAUACCCUGGGCUAAUGACGGUACCGUAAGAAUAAGCACCGGCUAACUACGUGCCAGCAGCCGCGGUAAUACGUAGGGUGCAAGCGUUAAUCGGAAUUACUGGGCGUAAAGCGUGCGCAGGCGGUUUUGUAAGACAGGUGUGAAAUCCCCGGGCUCAACCUGGGAACUGCACUUGUGACUGCAAGGCUAGAGUGUGUCAGAGGGAGGUGGAAUUCCGCGUGUAGCAGUGAAAUGCGUAGAUAUGCGGAGGAACACCGAUGGCGAAGGCAAUCCCCUGGGCCUGUACUGACGCUCAUGCACGAAAGCGUGGGGAGCAAACAGGAUUAGAAACCCCUGUAGUCC
RNAcentral lists this ribosomal RNA (450 nucleotides) under uncultured bacterium. RNAcentral describes it as "partial 16S ribosomal RNA". It matches the Rfam family "Bacterial small subunit ribosomal RNA", at positions 354 to 796 of the family's 1533-position model. The record is from RNAcentral.